AUACAAACACACACACGCACAAACACAACACCCGUGUGUGUGUGUGUGUGUGUGUGUGUGUGUGUGU
Non-coding RNA from Podarcis lilfordi (Lilford's wall lizard), 67 nucleotides. The record is from the annotation of a GenBank genome assembly. Lineage: Eukaryota; Metazoa; Chordata; Lepidosauria; Squamata; Lacertidae.